GGUCUAAGUGCAACGGUUAACGGUUGUGUUGCUAUAAAANCUGUUUAGCUAGAGUUGGAUAGAGGCAAAGUGGAAAUUCCAGUGUGUAGUGGUAAAAUGCGUAAAUAUACGGAGGAACNCCAGAAGCGAAAGGCGGCUUGCUGGGUCUUAACUUGACGCUGAGGCACGAAAGCGUGGGGAGCAAACAGGAUUAGAUACCCUGGUAGUCCACGCCCUAAACGAUGAGUACUAAACGUUGGAUAAAACCAGUGUUGAAGUUAACACAUUAAGUACUCCGCCUGAGUAGUACGUACGCAAGUAUGAAACUUAAAGGAAUUGCGGGACUCCGCACAAGCGGUGGAUCAUGUUGUUUAAUUCGAAGGUACCCGAAAACCCUCACCAGGUCUUGACAUGCUUUUGCAAAGCUGUAGANANACAGUGGAGGUUAUCAGAAGCACAGGUGGUGCAUGGUUGUCGUCAGCUCGUGUCGUGAGAUGUUGGGUUAAG
This 486-nucleotide ribosomal RNA is filed under the name Candidatus Phytoplasma solani. RNAcentral's name for it is "bacterial SSU rRNA". It matches the Rfam family "Bacterial small subunit ribosomal RNA", at positions 593 to 1084 of the family's 1533-position model. Lineage: Bacteria; Bacillati; Mycoplasmatota; Mollicutes; Acholeplasmatales; Acholeplasmataceae. The record is from RNAcentral.